Molecule: ribosomal RNA, 746 nt
Filed under: uncultured bacterium
Lineage: Bacteria
Description: bacterial SSU rRNA
Rfam family: Bacterial small subunit ribosomal RNA
Source: RNAcentral
AGAGUUUGAUCAUGGCUCAGGACCUUCGCUGGCGGCGUGCCUAACACAUGCAAGUCGAGCGAACCAUACAGAAUGAAGUUUUCGGAUGGAUUUCUGUAUGACUGAGCGGCGGACGGGUGAGUAACGCGUGGGUAACCUGCCUUAUACAGGGGGAUAACAGUUAGAAAUGACUGCUAAUACCGCAUAAGCGCACAGUACCGCAUGGUAGUGUGUGAAAAACUCCGGUGGUAUAAGAUGGACCCGCGUCUGAUUAGCCAGUUGGCGGGGUAACGGCCCACCAAAGCGACGAUCAGUAGCCGACCUGAGAGGGUGACUGGCCACAUUGGGACUGAGACACGGCCCAAACUCCUACGGGAGGCAGCAGUGGGGAAUAUUGCACAAUGGGGGAAACCCUGAUGCAGCAACGCCGCGUGAGUGAAGAAGUAUUUCGGUAUGUAAAGCUCUAUCAGCAGGGAAGAAGAUGACGGUACCUGAUUAAGAAGCCCCGGCUAACUACGUGCCAGCAGCCGCGGUAAUACGUAGGGGGCAAGCGUUAUCCGGAUUUACUGGGUGUAAAGGGAGCGCAUACGGCAGCGCAAGUCUGGAGUGAAAGCCCGGGGCCCAACCCCGGAACUGCUCUGGAAACUGUGCGGCUAGAGUACUGGAGGGGCAGGCGGAAUUCCUAGUGUAACGGCGAAAUGCGUAGAUAUUAGGAGGAACACCAUUGGGCGAAAGCGGCCUGCUGGACAGCACCUGACGUUGACGCU